UUUAUUAAAAAAAAAAAACUUACUAUUAGAUAAGGGUAAGGAAUAAGAACAAUUUAGAUUUUGGAUGAUAUGGAUGCAGACUAAGAAGGAUAGGAAUUAUUAGAACUAUAAUCAUAAUCCAUAUUGUUUCUUUAUUUUGAUUUUGGAGUUGCUCUAAUUAUGGAAGCACUUUCCCUUUCCCUUCCCCUUCCCCUAAUCACUGUUACCAAUUCCAAUGCCAACUACACUCCUCUGACUGCUGCUACUAGUUAUUCAUCACUCUCAUCCUUACAACACCGUCCUUCUUCCUCAACCACCAAACCCUUCACUUUUAAGAGUGUUGUUCGUGUUCGAGCUGAGGGUGAAGAUAAUGAGUUGAAGCAAAUGAGGGAUAUGGCUGCUGCCAGAAAGAGAUGGGAAUCUCUGAUCAGGGAUGAAAAAAUUAAAGUUCUUACCCCAAGGGAAGCUGGGUAUGCAGUACAGCUUUCAAACAAGCCUCUUAUUGAUGUUCGCCCCUCAAAUGAACAUAGCAAGGCAUGGGUGAGAGGUUCGACCUGGAUUCCAAUAUUUGAUGUCGAUAAUGGUUUAGAUGUUGGAACCAUUCCUAGAAAAAUCACAAAUUUUGCUAUGGGAGGUUGGUGGAGUGGCAUGCCUACCCUGUCUUUUGACAACUCGUUCUUACCCAAAGUUGAGGAGAAGUUCCCCAAAGAUACAGAAUUAAUUGUUGCAUGCCAGAAGGGACUGAGAUCACUAGCUGCUUGUGAACUACUCUAUAAUGCUGGCUACAGAAACCUGUUCUGGGUUCAAGGAGGCUUCGAGGCUGCUGAAGAAGAGGAUCUUGUAGUUGAGGGUCAAGUGCCUCUUAAGUUUGCUGGAAUUGGUGGUGUUUCAGAAUUCCUUGGGCUUCAAAGAAGAUUUUACACAAUUUAAAAAAUUAGAACAAUUUUUAAAUAUGGAUACAAAUUUCUGACUGCAAGAUUAUUUCCAGUUGGACUGAUCAACAACGAGCUGCUGCAGCCAAGGAAGGUUGGGGAUACAGAUUAGUGUUUUCUGCACGCCUGAUUGGACUAUUUCUUGUUACCGAUGCAUUAUUUAUUGGCGCUCAGCAACUUGGGCACUAUCUUCAGGAGAUCAGGACCCAUUGAGAUACUAUGGCUACAUUUGAGUUAUUGAUUAACCCUGGUGUAGACAAUGUUCCUUUGUUUUGGAUGAGAAAAUAGAGACAACAGGCUGAGGAACUCAAUUUUGAAUGCAGACCUUGAUGGAGGCUUAUAUUCCAUCCUUUAGUUAGAUUUACCAGCAGGUGCUUUCUGGAAUUUAUGUCAUAAUAGGCUUAUCUUAUUCUUAGGAUUAUAAAUCCAAGUUUAGCUGGGUAGUGAUUUUAGCUUAGGUUUCUCCCGUGUGGCUGGCUACGAUCUAAGAAGUAUUUUUUGGCCAAACCAAAUUCUUGUAUUUUCUUAGAAAUUUCCAGAACCCAAAAAAUGUCAUCAUACUGCUUCAUUAAUGUUAAUAUUUUGUUGUGUGUAUGUA
This is a non-coding RNA of Cicer arietinum (chickpea), 1509 nucleotides long. Lineage: Eukaryota; Viridiplantae; Streptophyta; Magnoliopsida; Fabales; Fabaceae. The record is from RefSeq and is a predicted model, not a curated record.